CUGCACUUGGUACUAGCCUAGAUAUCCAUGCCUAGGUCUGUUCUCAGACUUGGACAUGCCAGGUGGUAUCUGGGUCCCAAAAGUGCCACAUUAAUUGGACCAGAAGCAUUUAAGCUCAUUGUGUUUAGUGACACUCUGGGUUAUAACUUAUUGGCACAAUC
This is a non-coding RNA of Spea bombifrons (plains spadefoot toad), 161 nucleotides long. RefSeq annotates it as small Cajal body-specific RNA 1. The record is from RefSeq and is a predicted model, not a curated record. NCBI's taxonomy places the organism in Eukaryota, Metazoa, Chordata, Amphibia, Anura, Pelobatidae. The transcript has a single exon.